RNAcentral lists this ribosomal RNA (857 nucleotides) under uncultured bacterium. RNAcentral describes it as "bacterial SSU rRNA". It matches the Rfam family "Bacterial small subunit ribosomal RNA", at positions 26 to 896 of the family's 1533-position model. The record is from RNAcentral.
AGAGUGAACGCUGGCGGCGUGCCUAACACAUGCAAGUCGAACGAGAACGGAACUAGCUUGCUAGUUUGUCAGCUAAGUGGCGCACGGGUGAGUAAUAUAUAGUUAAUCUGCCCCAAAGAAGAGAAUAAUUGUUGGAAACGACUUGUAAUGCUCUAUAUGCCUUUAUCACAUAAGUGAGCAAGGGAAACAUUUAUGGCUUUGGGAUGAGACUGUACGGUAUCAGCUAGUUGGUGAGGUAAUGGCUCACCAAGGCUAUGACAUCUAACUGGUUUGAGAGGAUGAUCAGUCACACUGGAACUGAGACACGGUCCAGACUCCUACGGGAGGCAGCAGUGGGGAAUAUUGCACAAUGGACGAAAGUCUGAUGCAGCAACGCCGCGUGGAGGAUGACACAUUUCGGUGCGUAAACUCCUUUUAUAUGAGAAGAUAAUGACGGUAUCAUAUGAAUAAGCACCGGCUAACUCCGUGCCAGCAGCCGCGGUAAUACGGGGGGUGCAAGCGUUACUCGGAAUCACUGGGCGUAAAGAGCAUGUAGGCUGGUUUGUAAGUUGGAAGUGAAAUCCUAUGGCUUAACCAUAGAACUGCUUCCAAAACUGCAGACCUAGAAUAUGGGAGAGGUAGAUGGAAUUUCUGGUGUAGGGGUAAAAUCCGUAGAGAUCAGAAGGAAUACCGAUCGCGAAGGCGAUCUACUGGAACAUUAUUGACGCUGAGAUGCGAAAGCGUGGGGAGCAAACAGGAUUAGAUACCCUGGUAGUCCACGCCCUAAACGAUGCACACUAGUUGUUGCCUUGCUCGACAAGGCAGUAAUGCAGUUAACACAGUAAGUGUGCCGCCUGGGGAGUACGGUCGCAAGAUUA